This 253-nucleotide ribosomal RNA is filed under the name uncultured bacterium. Its description in RNAcentral is "partial 16S ribosomal RNA". It matches the Rfam family "Bacterial small subunit ribosomal RNA", at positions 524 to 776 of the family's 1533-position model. The record is from RNAcentral.
UACGGAGGGGGCUAGCGUUAUUCGGAAUUACUGGGCGUAAAGCGCACGUAGGCGGCUUUGUAAGUUAGAGGUGAAAGCCUGGAGCUCAACUCCAGAAUUGCCUUUAAGACUGCAUCGCUUGAAUCCAGGAGAGGUGAGUGGAAUUCCGAGUGUAGAGGUGAAAUUCGUAGAUAUCGAGAGGAACACCGGUGGCGAAGGCGGCGACCUGGGUCGAGACUGACGCUGAGGCGCGAAAGCGUGGGGAGCGAACAGG